This 301-nucleotide ribosomal RNA is filed under the name uncultured bacterium. RNAcentral's name for it is "partial 16S ribosomal RNA". It matches the Rfam family "Bacterial small subunit ribosomal RNA", at positions 509 to 807 of the family's 1533-position model. The record is from RNAcentral.
CAGCCGCCGCGGUAAUACGUAGGUGACAAGCGUUGUCCGGAAUUAUUGGGCGUAAAGGGCUCGCAGGCGGUUUCUUAAGUCUGAUGUGGAAGCCCCCGGCUCAACCGGGGAGGGUCAUUGGAAACUGGGAAACUUGAGUGCAGAAGAGGAGAGUGGAAUUCCACGUGUAGCGGUGAAAUGCGUAGAGAUGUGGAGGAACACCAGUGGCGAAGGCGACUCUCUGGUCUGUAACUGACGCUGAGGAGCGAAAGCGUGGGGAGCGAACAGGAUUAGAUACCCCUGUAGUCCCUGUCUCUUAUAC